AUAAAAACUCGUUAAUCUCAUCUACAUAUAAUUUAUACAAACAGAGAAAAUGACAUCUGGAGAAAAAAAUGUUAAACUCCGUCGAGAACUGGGCCUGUUCAGUGCUACGUGUCUCAUCAUAAGCGUGAUGUUAGGUUCAGGAAUUUUCGUUUCUCCGGCUAAUGCGUUAAAGAACACAGGAUCGGUGGGCAUGUGUCUUGUCAUCUGGAUGUCUUGCGGCUUGCUAUCACUUUUAGGAGCCCUGUCGUACGCCGAACUCGGCUCGGUGGUCAACAAGUCGGGUGGCGAGUUCAACUUUUAUCGGACCGCAUUCUCCGACAUGCACAAAUUCUGGGGCCCUCUACCCAGUUUCAUAUACUCGUGGGUGUGCAUCAUGUACAUCCGUCCCGCCGAAGUGGCCAUCAUCAUAUUGACGUUCGCCGAAUAUUUUGUGCGGCCUAUUGGCAUAUGGGCUCAUAUGACACCGGAAAACGAAGAAUCGACUAAGAAAAUCGUCUCCGUACUUGCUAUCAGCAUUAUCACAUGUAUAAACUACAACAGCGUCAAAUGUUUUAUCAAAAUUCAAAAUCUCUUUACUAUAUGUAAAGUCACGGCUUGUAUAUUCGUCAUCGUCGGUGGAGUGUAUCAACUCUACUCGGGAAACACAAAGAAUUUGAUGACCGGGUUCGAAGGUACUACAUUAUCGAUGGAAUCGCUUCCAAUUGCUUUCUACAGCGGACUUUGGGCGUACGAUGGAUGGACUGCUACGACUAGUGUCUCCGAGGAAAUAAAAAAUCCCCAAAGGAAUAUAUUGCUAAGCGCAUUACUAGCCGUACCUUUUGUCACGAUGAUUUAUGUUUUGAUGAACGUGUCGUACCUUACAGUCUUGUCAGUCCCAGAAAUGACAUCUGUUCCUGCCGUUGCAGUUGAAUUUGGAACUCGAGCUUUAGGGAAUUUCAGUUUCAUAAUCCCACUAGGCGUCGUUACAGCAACAUUCGGUUGUGCGCUCAGUGUCCAAUUUGGAAUCACCAGAUUAUGUUUUGCCGCAAGUAGAGAAGGCCAAAUGUUGGAGGUUUUCUCUUACGUGAGCGUCAAAAAUCUAACUCCUGCGCCAGCUGUUGUUUUACAGGGUUUACUCACAUUGGUCUGCUUGUUAAGUGGUGACAUCAUAUCGUUAAUAGAGUUCGCUAGUUUCUUAUCCUGGUUGUUCUACGGUAUUUCCAUGGUGGCGUUGUUAGUGUUGCGUUACACCAAGAGAGACGUUAAACGUCCAUUUAAAGUAAACACAUCAUUAUACUGUCGUAGUAACGACAUUAAUGCCAUUUAUCACCUAUAUGGUGAUGCGAAACGUUUACUCCCAUGUCCUACUAUGGACUUUAUAGGAUAUUAUGAUGUGUAAUAUUAUAUUCAAGGGAAGGAAAUGAUAAAUUGACUACAACGUGAUGAAAGAAUUCAUCUUAAAGUAUUUGAUUGACUUCCCAAUAUUUCUGGGUUGUUAAAGUUUCGUUUAUCACCUCUAUGGUGAUGCCAAACGUUUUCUCUCGUGUCCUACUAUGGACUUUAUCUCGUGUGGGGUCGAUUUAAUAAAUUAUUCUGGGUCCUUAAAGGACUGAUUUCACUGUUUAAAAGUCAUGUUUGUAACACUAAGAAAAUAGAAAAACACUGUUUCAUGCUAAUGUUUGUUAUUAACUAGCAUCCGUUUUGAACGAUUAGGGUAUUAUAUUUAGUGGGAACCUAUUUGGAAUGUUCCGAUCAAAUCGCUGCGAUUACCGUUACUGAUUGGUCUGUGUCAUGUGAUUAUGUUUACAUGGUAUCCAAACGAAAUCCCAUAUACACCUAUAAUUGUACCUAACUACCCUUCUGCAAGAAGUGCCGAUCGUCAUCCCAAUAUUCGUGCUCAUCGUAUCCGUUGUUCUGUUCGUUACGCCGAUUAUCAAUGAUCCCAAACCUCAGUUCCUUAUC
RNA transcript from Sipha flava (yellow sugarcane aphid), 1941 nucleotides. It is a transcript of the gene named b(0,+)-type amino acid transporter 1-like, with no coding region annotated. The transcript is spliced from 11 exons. The record is from RefSeq and is a predicted model, not a curated record. Lineage: Eukaryota; Metazoa; Arthropoda; Insecta; Hemiptera; Aphididae.